This 1076-nucleotide ribosomal RNA is filed under the name Salinibacterium sp. Its description in RNAcentral is "bacterial SSU rRNA". It matches the Rfam family "Bacterial small subunit ribosomal RNA", at positions 68 to 1154 of the family's 1533-position model. The record is from RNAcentral. Lineage: Bacteria; Bacillati; Actinomycetota; Actinomycetes; Micrococcales; Microbacteriaceae.
GAUGAAGCUGGAGCUUGCUCUGGUGGAUUAGUGGCGAACGGGUGAGUAACACGUGAGUAACCUGCCCUUGACUCUGGAAUAAGCGUUGGAAACGACGUCUAAUACUGGAUACGAGCUUCAGCCGCAUGGCUAGGAGUUGGAAAGAAUUUCGGUCAAGGAUGGACUCGCGGCCUAUCAGGUAGUUGGUGAGGUAAUAGCUCACCAAGCCUACGACGGGUAGCCGGCCUGAGAGGGUGACCGGCCACACUGGAACUGAGACACGGUCCAGACUCCUACGGGAGGCAGCAGUGGGGAAUAUUGCACAAUGGGCGAAAGCCUGAUGCAGCAACGCCGCGUGAGGGACGACGGCCUUCGGGUUGUAAACCUCUUUUAGUAGGGAAGAAGCGAAAGUGACGGUACCUGCAGAAAAAGCACCGGCUAACUACGUGCCAGCAGCCGCGGUAAUACGUAGGGUGCAAGCGUUAUCCGGAAUUAUUGGGCGUAAAGAGCUCGUAGGCGGUUUGUCGCGUCUGCUGUGAAAACUGGAGGCUCAACCUCCAGCCUGCAGUGGGUACGGGCAGACUAGAGUGCGGUAGGGGAGAUUGGAAUUCCUGGUGUAGCGGUGGAAUGCGCAGAUAUCAGGAGGAACACCGAUGGCGAAGGCAGAUCUCUGGGCCGUAACUGACGCUGAGGAGCGAAAGCAUGGGGAGCGAACAGGAUUAGAUACCCUGGUAGUCCAUGCCGUAAACGUUGGGAACUAGAUGUAGGGACCAUUCCACGGUUUCUGUGUCGCAGCUAACGCAUUAAGUUCCCCGCCUGGGGAGUACGGCCGCAAGGCUAAAACUCAAAGGAAUUGACGGGGGCCCGCACAAGCGGCGGAGCAUGCGGAUUAAUUCGAUGCAACGCGAAGAACCUUACCAAGACUUGACAUAUACGAGAACGGGCUAGAAAUAGUUCACUCUUUGGACACUCGUAAACAGGUGGUGCAUGGUUGUCGUCAGCUCGUGUCGUGAGAUGUUGGGUUAAGUCCCGCAACGAGCGCAACCCUCGUUCUUUGUUGCCAGCACGUAAUGGUGGGAACUCAAAGGAGACUGCCG